CUACGUGCCAGCAGCCGCGGUAAUACGGAAGGUCCAGGCGUUAUCCGGAUUUAUUGGGUUUAAAGGGAGCGUAGGCUGGAGAUUAAGUGUGUUGUGAAAUGUAGACGCUCAACGUCUGAMUUGCAGCGCAUACUGGUUUCCUUGAGUACGCACAACGUUGGCGGAAUUCGUCGUGUAGCGGUGAAAUGCUUAGAUAUGACGAAGAACUCCGAUUGCGAAGGCAGCUGACGGGAGCGCAACUGACGCUUAAGCUCGAAGGUGCGGGUAUCGAACAGGAUUAGAUACCCUGGUAGUCCGCACAGUAAACGAUGGAUGCCCGCUGUUGGUACUUGGUAUCAGCGGCUAAGCGAAAGCAUUAAGCAUCCCACCUGGGGAGUACGCCGGCAACGGUGAAACUCAAAGGAAUUGACGGGGGCCCGCACAAGCGGAGGAACAUGUGGUUUAAUUCGAUGAUACGCGAGGAACCUUACCCGGGCUUGAAUUGCAGAGGAAGGAUUUAGAGAUA
This 505-nucleotide ribosomal RNA is filed under the name uncultured bacterium. RNAcentral describes it as "bacterial SSU rRNA". It matches the Rfam family "Bacterial small subunit ribosomal RNA", at positions 501 to 1008 of the family's 1533-position model. The record is from RNAcentral.